AUGGUUGCUGCCGCCCGAUGCCACCGUGUGCUUUCAGCACGAGCCGCCGCAGAUGCCGUGCAACAAGGCCACCUCGCCGGCCGCUGUCGUGCACCGCCGCCGAUGCAGCUACCGCCGCGCUGCGCCCCGUCGAGUGCCACUCGCUGUUGCUGCCGAAACCCGCAGCUCUGUGCGCCGUCGUGCCGUGUCUCCGUGCCGUCGCGCCGAGCUGCCGCGGCCUCUGCGCAACCACGCAGGUACUCCGUGACCUCCUCGCCUCCGCGACCGCCGCUGCUCGUCGCGCGCACGGCAUCGCGCCGCACCACCGCGGACUCGUCGCCCGUCGCAAUCGACACACGCUCUCCACGCGCUGCAGCCUCCAUGUCCGUUGCGCGCUCCGCGGACGCUGCCGCGCGCCGUGGCCGCCCCUCGAACUUGGCUCUGAAUACCAAUUGUUGUUGCCGCUAG
This 447-nucleotide ribosomal RNA is filed under the name Triticum aestivum (bread wheat). Its description in RNAcentral is "partial small subunit ribosomal RNA". Lineage: Eukaryota; Viridiplantae; Streptophyta; Magnoliopsida; Poales; Poaceae. The record is from RNAcentral.